This is a long non-coding RNA of Exaiptasia diaphana, 383 nucleotides long. RefSeq lists it as uncharacterized. Lineage: Eukaryota; Metazoa; Cnidaria; Anthozoa; Actiniaria; Aiptasiidae. The transcript is spliced from 3 exons. The record is from RefSeq and is a predicted model, not a curated record.
UACUGUUCACUAAGCCUACCAAAUUUUCUUUUUAAGGUCUCAAGGAUCUCAAAACAAGAAGGGUUUAUUGGAGGAAUAAAAAACGUUCCUCAGUGGUUAUACCAUUUGACGGAAUCCCGUUUAUCUACGUUGCCGAAAAGCGGCUUCAGUGCCAACACGGCAAAGGUAGAAACAAAGAGAAGAAGCAAGAUUACUGCCCAGUCGUCAUCGUAGAGGAACAAGUGCUAAAGUUUCCACAGUUCAAGAUUACUAUGUCUAACACGAAGUGGCACAAAGACAAGAUACCAAAAACUGUACGCCAGUACCUAAAAGAAAAACCUCUGGAAGCAGAGAUAAAAUUUUAUACCAAUUUACCUGAUCUUGCAGAACACAAACACCACAAA